AACAAAAAACCAUGCUAUAACUUUAUUUAAUGAAAAAAAAAAACUUAAAUUUUAAUGAAAAUGACACAAUUUUGAUAUAAAUUAAAAAAAAAAUAACAUAACCCAUCCAUCACAAACAUUGUUUAUGAAAUUGAACAAUACUAUAUUGUUUAUGAAACUUAAUGGUACUACACUAUUUAUGAAACUGAACGGUACUAUAUUAUUUAUGAAAUUGAACAUGAUUAUACUAUUUAUUGGUCCAAAUUCAUAAAUAGUGCCUAGUUCUUGGUUCAUUUUCAUAAAUAGUGCCUAUUUAUUGGGUCCAGUUUCAUAAAUAGUGUAUAGUAAUUUGUAUAGUUUCAUAACCAGUGUCUCACUCUUGGUCCAGUUUCAUAACUAGUGCCUAGUUCUUGGUCCACUUUCAUAUAUA
This 409-nucleotide long non-coding RNA is filed under the name Malus domestica (apple). RNAcentral describes it as "long non-coding RNA (MDOM_LNC009023)". Lineage: Eukaryota; Viridiplantae; Streptophyta; Magnoliopsida; Rosales; Rosaceae. The record is from RNAcentral.